This 260-nucleotide ribosomal RNA is filed under the name uncultured bacterium. RNAcentral's name for it is "partial 16S ribosomal RNA". It matches the Rfam family "Bacterial small subunit ribosomal RNA", at positions 523 to 776 of the family's 1533-position model. The record is from RNAcentral.
UAGCGUAGGGUCCGAGCGUUUGUCCGGAAGUUACUGGGCGUAAAGAGCUUCGUAGGUGGUUUGUCGCGUUGUUCGUGAAAACUCACAGCUCGAACUGUGGGCGUGCGGGCGAUACGGGACAGACUAGAGUACUGCAGGGGAGACUGGAAUUCCUGGUGUAGCGGUGGAAUGCGCAGAUAUCAGGAGGAACACCGGUGGCGAAGGCGGGUCUCUGGGGCAGUAACUGACGCUGAGGAGCGAAAGCGUGGGGAGCGAACAGG